AUGGAUAGUCAGGUUGACCGACUAUAGUCGGACCUGAUCUUUUGUUGGUUAGAUGGACUGAGUAUGGUCAUGUUAAUGGUUAGACCUAAUCAGAACUUUCAGUGGAGGCCCUAGCCUACUAAAAAAAAUCUGAGAUAAAAUUAAUUACUAGAAGUUGUUUAGAGAAAUAAUUGAUUAAGAACCUACCCAUAGAUGCACAUGGAUUGGCCGGCCAUAGUCGGGAUCGUGUGCUGUUUAUGUGGAUUCUAGUAUCCACUA
RNAcentral lists this long non-coding RNA (258 nucleotides) under Elaeis guineensis (African oil palm). Its description in RNAcentral is "long non-coding RNA (EGUI_LNC058589)". Lineage: Eukaryota; Viridiplantae; Streptophyta; Magnoliopsida; Arecales; Arecaceae. The record is from RNAcentral.